Long non-coding RNA from Panicum virgatum (switchgrass), 928 nucleotides. RefSeq lists it as uncharacterized. The transcript has 3 exons. Lineage: Eukaryota; Viridiplantae; Streptophyta; Magnoliopsida; Poales; Poaceae. The record is from RefSeq and is a predicted model, not a curated record.
UAUGCCGCACACCAUGCCGAGCCCUCCCCUCGACCUGCCGCCUGCAACCCUUUGCUCGCGAUCUCCUCUCAUAACGCGGAGCGCCGCCGCCUCCUGUCUCGCUGCCUGCGCAGCCCUGCAGCAGCGCCCCUGUCCUGCACGUGAUGCCCCGCCAGGUCUUCGCCGCUCCUCUGCUGGGCUUAAUUCGUUUAUGCAGCUCCCCACGACUCUUCCCGGCACCGCAUGUCCUACUGGCCAUGGUGCCCCUGCUGGUGCCCUCGAGCCUCGCCCUCUUCUGCAUCAUCCCCGUGGCACCCUCACCAUCAGCAAGGAACAGAACCACCGCCGCCGCAACCUUCCGGCCGCAAGUUCGGCCACCACGUUGCAUCCGGGCGCAAGUAUGUGCUUGUUGCAAGUAGAAAGGAACGCAGUUCAAGAGUUCUGAAGGUUAAGAGUUUCAGGAGCAAAUGUUGAAGGCUGAGCAGUUAUUAUCUAGUUUUAAGGCAAGUAUAUUCCUUGAUCAUGUUUCUGUCCUAAUAACUUUAUUAUUCGCUUGCAUGCAUUAAAUUGAUGGGGUCCUAUUACCUUGAAUAGCCGGGUUUCUUUUACAAAAUCUUUUAGGUAGAAUUGCUUAGUUGCUGAACAAUGGUAAUGGGUGGUUUUCAAUAAUGAUACUUGAGACAUGCUUCUAUACUUUAUAAUUUUUGGAACAAUAUGGUGAACUUGUGAAGUUAAUUAAAAUCAACCAUAGAGCGACCACCCGGGAAAACAACGCAACCACAAGGACUACAUGGCUCUGGUCUUGCCUGAUCAAUUAGAUUUCUCUAACUUGUUAGUAGCUUACCAAAAGGCGCAAGGGUGUACGCAUUUGUUUGGUUUUUGUCAUGCCUUGGGGGAGGUACACUCGUCCAAUUGCUGAAACCUCAGCGAGCUACUACUGGUUAGGGAG